Non-coding RNA from Diaporthe sp. PMI_573, 106 nucleotides. NCBI's taxonomy places the organism in Eukaryota, Fungi, Ascomycota, Sordariomycetes, Diaporthales, Diaporthaceae. The record is from the annotation of a GenBank genome assembly.
GCGACGGUAGAGUAGUGGUUAACUCGCCUCCCUCCCACUUGAGAUAACCCCGGUUCUAGCUGCAAAGGGCCAGGAGGAGACUCGGGUUCAAACCCCGGCCGUCGCA